GCAUUCCCAGGGCGCUUGUUUCACGCUUUGCGUGUCGAUGCGCACCUAGAGCGUACACGCUGAUACCCGAAAGAUGGUGAACUAUGCCUGGCCAGGACGAAGCCAGGGGAAACCCUGGUGGAGGUCCGCAGCGAUUCUGACGUGCAAAUCGAUCGUCGGAGCUGGGUAUAGGGGCGAAAGACCAAUCGAACCAUCUAGUAGCUGGUUCCCUCUGAAGUUUCCCUCAGGAUAGCUUGCGCUCGGUUGAUAAGAGUCUCAUCCGGUAGAGCGAAUGAUUAGAGGCAUUGGGGUCGAAACGACCUCAACCUAUUCUCAAACUCCAAAUAGAUGAGACCCCCGGCUUUCUUAAAAUUGAAGCCGUGGGAAUAGGAUCAGAGUGCCAAGUGGGCCAAUUUUGGUAAGCAGAACUGGCGCUGUGGGAUGAACCAAACGCAGAGUUAAGGCGCCCAAAUUGACGCUCAUGUGAAACCAUGAAAGGCGUUGGUUGCUUAAGACAGCAG
Molecule: ribosomal RNA, 500 nt
Filed under: Epidaus tuberosus
Lineage: Eukaryota; Metazoa; Arthropoda; Insecta; Hemiptera; Reduviidae
Description: partial large subunit ribosomal RNA
Rfam family: Eukaryotic large subunit ribosomal RNA
Source: RNAcentral